UACGGAGGGUGCAAGCGUUAUCCGGAUUCACUGGGUUUAAAGGGUGCGUAGGUGGGCUUGUAAGUCAGUGGUGAAAUCUCCGGGCUCAACCCGGAAACUGCCAUUGAUACUAUCUGUCUUGAAUAUCGUGGAGGUAAGCGGAAUAUGUCAUGUAGCGGUGAAAUGCUUAGAUAUGACAUAGAACACCAAUUGCGAAGGCAGCUUACUACCCGAAUAUUGACACUGAGGCACGAAAGCGUGGGGAUCAAACAGG
This 253-nucleotide ribosomal RNA is filed under the name uncultured bacterium. RNAcentral's name for it is "partial 16S ribosomal RNA". It matches the Rfam family "Bacterial small subunit ribosomal RNA", at positions 524 to 776 of the family's 1533-position model. The record is from RNAcentral.